RNAcentral lists this unclassified non-coding RNA (395 nucleotides) under soil metagenome. Its description in RNAcentral is "partial contains 5.8S ribosomal RNA, internal transcribed spacer 2, and large subunit ribosomal RNA". The stretch from base 1 to 122 matches the Rfam family "5.8S ribosomal RNA", at positions 35 to 154 of the family's 154-position model. The record is from RNAcentral.
GAUGAAGAACGUAGCGAAAUGCGAUACUUGGUGUGAAUUGCAGAAUCCCGUGAACCAUCGAGUCUUUGAACGCAAGUUGCGCCCGAGGCCUCCUGGUCGAGGGCACGUCUGCCUGGGUGUCACGCAUCGUCGCCCCCGCUCCCCUCGGCUCACGAGGGCGGGGGCGGAUACUGGUCUCCCGCGUGCUCCCGCCCGUGGUUGGCCUAAAAUCGAGUCCCUGGCGACAGUCGCCACGACAAGCGGUGGUUGAGAGACCCUCGGACACGGUCGUGCGCGUGCUUGGCGCCCCCGGGACCGCCCGGACCCCCGAGCAUUGGCUUUCAGGGAUGCUCUCGUUGCGACCCCAGGUCAGGCGGGACUACCCGCUGAGUUUAAGCAUAUCAAUAAGCGGAGGA